Long non-coding RNA from Magnolia sinica, 1055 nucleotides. RefSeq lists it as uncharacterized. The transcript has 3 exons. NCBI's taxonomy places the organism in Eukaryota, Viridiplantae, Streptophyta, Magnoliopsida, Magnoliales, Magnoliaceae. The record is from RefSeq and is a predicted model, not a curated record.
AGUAACAUUUACUGCAUCAAAGUUUCUAUUGAAAUGGUUGUUUCAGUAUGAACAUGAGCACAGACAAUGGUUGGCCGCUAUCUCUUUGGGACUGAUAUCAAGUUGUUUACAUGCAACGAAUUCAAGACAAAUUCCAAAUCAUCAUCGGACUUCUUGAGAAUCCUAUUGAAGAAGUUAUAUCAGCUAACUUUUCACAUUCAUUCCUUAGGAACCUUCGGCUAUCAAAUGUUGAGAUUAUAUUACCAGAUGUAAAUGAUCUUCUCUCAUCUUAAAAUCAAAGCUUAUUGUUUGAAUCAUGGGGAUUGAACCAGGAAUACUUAAACCUUAUUUGUUUUCACAGCAUAUGAAGAACUAUGAGUUAUUUCUAAAGAAGGUAUCCAAGUGGAUGAACCAUGACAACCUUCUUUUUGUGGAACAUAUAUGCCAUAAAACCAUGGCUUAUGAGUACGAGGUAUACUCCCAAGUCAUCCAUCAAGCUCUAGGCUUAAACGUCACCAUUGCAUAGUUUUAGUUUUUAUCUUGAAUUUGAUUUUUUUUUUUUCAUCAUUCAUUCCCAUUUUCUGUUAGCAAAUUACUAUGCUUCGUGUUUGUGCCCCCAAUUUGAACUUACUGUGAUAAGAUAUAUCACAUGUUAAAUCUUGUUGACCUCCUUUGCAUGCAUCUUUUACAGCCUAUAGAUGACAAUGAUUGGUAUACAGAUUCCAUGUUCCUUCUGGGACAUUCAUCAUGACAUCGGCCUCACUUCUAUAUUUCCGGAUUGUAAUGGAAGAUGCUUCCAUAAUGUAAGAUGCUUGAUGUAAGGCAUUGUUUCCCAAUCAAGCUCAGCAGGGGUGUAGGGCCACCAUGGUGUUUGAUGUUUGCAUGACCUCACCCGUCCAACAAGGUUCUCAAUUUCAUGGUGGGACAAUCUUGUUGGAUGGGCAAAUGAAUCCGAUUAGAACCUCUUACAGUUGACCACAUUCCACCCGAUCCAUAACCAUUUUUUUUUUUAAUGAGGCUAGUCCAUAACCAAAUUUUUAAUAGGUACAACUAAAAAAAGUCCUAUAAUCCAAUCC